CUGCCUUCCAUAAGAAGUAAUGCAUUAUAUUGACUCUGACUUAGUUUAAUUUAGCUGAUUUAGCUUAGGAAAUACUGCCACCGUGUGGGCGUUAUGUGCAACUGCGCUAACUGCGUAAGUUAAGCUUCCUGUUUAGUUUCCUACUCUUGUAUUCAGUGAAUUGCCACGAGUUUCAUUGCUGCAUUUACGUUCGACAUACACACUGGAGCCUUGGACAUUAUUUGUCUGGUGCUGCAGUGAGCAUGGCUGGUCUGACUGCAGGUGGUUUGGUGAUGGGGCUCUUCACCUGACUCCACACCCCCAUAUUAGUGAGCGGAUGACACACAGCCAACAAUGGCUGAGUCAUCGGAGAACUUCUGGAGGUGACAUCUGCUGGUGUUGUAGGCGAAGUCUGAAGUUUGGAAGGUGAAGAGGAAAGCUGAGAGCACACGAUUCUCACAGCACUACAAACUCAGCACUCACCUGGAGAGUGGAGGAACACACAGUGAGACGCCGCAUCACCAAAGAAGCGAAACAACGGAUCGCCAGCACCCCGCUGAGGACAACGUGUCAAAUGUUUAAGUGGACUAUUAAUUUUCCAACUCCGAAGAACCGGAGCAACUCACAGUAAGAGGCUUAUGUCUGGGCGGACACAUUAUUAAGGCGGAGGAAUUAUUAAGGCAGAUGCAUUAUUAAGGCAGAGACAGUGUAAAGUAGGGUUAUUUACACAUGAUUUUCUUUAACUUAUAUGUGCUGCAAUCAUUUAACUUUUGUUACUAGCAUUAAGAUAGAGUUGCUAACGUGUGACUCUCGUUUAUAUGUGCUGCAAUCAUUUAAUUUGUGUACUGGUAUUAUUAAGAUAGAGUUGCUAAUGUGUGACUUUCUCUUGUAAGUGCCACACUCAUUUAAUUUUUGUUACCGAUCAUCCAAAUCCAUCAGUUCCGUGAGCUUGCGCGUCACCAGUUAAAAGACCAAUAUCUGAGCAGAUAAACUCCGGUUUACUGACUCCACUAUUGUGUGGUGAUAGUGUGAGACUCAAAAGAACUGAGGUGGUGAUCUUUGCUGGGUUCUUAAUUCUUUAAGUUCCUCUUCUAUCUUUAUCUCUAUCUCACAUUUUUACAUGGGCAUGAGUCCGAGCAUGCGAUCACGAAUCUCCUCGCGAGACAUGUGACGCUCAAGGAUCUUUGCCUUUGUAGUCAUUGUUUGCUACGUCAGCCACGUUAUGUGGGCAAUCGCCAUCUUGGCUCUGAGCUGCACGUCCUGCGUGCCACUCUAUCGCCAUCUUGGUCUUGCUGACGUCACUCACGCGACGACCCGCCGUCUUGGCUUCGAGGGACACGUCACUCACGCGUCAUCCCUCUGCCAUCCUCGUCUCCACCGCUAUCUCUCUCUCUCUCUCACACACAUACACACACACACACACUCCUGUAUAUAUGCACACCUAUGUAUAGAUAUACUCUUGCUGCUGUACCUGUGUUAUCUUUAGUUAAUAGUUAA
Long non-coding RNA from Scatophagus argus, 1476 nucleotides. RefSeq lists it as uncharacterized. Lineage: Eukaryota; Metazoa; Chordata; Actinopteri; Scatophagidae. The transcript is spliced from 4 exons. The record is from RefSeq and is a predicted model, not a curated record.